UGGGGAAUCUUGCACAAUGGGCGAAAGCCUGAUGCAGCCAUGCCGCGUGUGUGAAGAAGGCCCUAGGGUUGUAAAGCACUUUCAGUGGUGAAGAUAAUGACGGUAACCACAGAAGAAGCCCCGGCUAACUCCGUGCCAGCAGCCGCGGUAAUACGGAGGGGGCUAGCGUUGUCCGGAAUUACUGGGCGUAAAGCGCUCGUAGGCGGAUUGACCAGUCAGAGGUGAAAGCCCGGGGCUCAACUCCGGAAUUGCCUUUGAUACUGUCAGUCUAGAGUCCGAGAGAGGUGAGUGGAAUUCCUAGUGUAGAGGUGAAAUUCGUAGAUAUUAGGAAGAACACCAGUGGCGAAGGCGGCUCACUGGCUCGGUACUGACGCUGAGGAGCGAAAGCGUGGGGAGCAAACAGGAUUAGAUACCCCCGUAGUCC
RNAcentral lists this ribosomal RNA (424 nucleotides) under uncultured prokaryote. RNAcentral describes it as "bacterial SSU rRNA". It matches the Rfam family "Bacterial small subunit ribosomal RNA", at positions 355 to 796 of the family's 1533-position model. The record is from RNAcentral.